This 468-nucleotide ribosomal RNA is filed under the name uncultured bacterium. RNAcentral's name for it is "partial 16S ribosomal RNA". It matches the Rfam family "Bacterial small subunit ribosomal RNA", at positions 28 to 507 of the family's 1533-position model. The record is from RNAcentral.
GACGAACGCUGGCGGCGUGCUUAACACAUGCAAGUCGAACGGAAAGGCCCUGCUUUUGUGGGGUGCCCGAGUGGCGAACGGGUGAGUAACACGUGAGUAACCUGCCCUUGACUUUGGGAUAACUUCAGGAAACUGGGGCUAAUACCGGAUAGGAGCUCCUGCUGCAUGGUGGGGGUUGGAAAGUUUCGGCGGUUGGGGAUGGACUCGCGGCUUAUCAGCUUGUUGGUGGGGUAGUGGCUUACCAAGGCUUUGACGGGUAGCCGGCCUGAGAGGGUGACCGGCCACAUUGGGACUGAGAUACGGCCCAGACGGCUACGGGAGGCAGCAGUGGGGAAUAUUGCACAAUGGGCGGAAGCCUGAUGCAGCAACGCCGCGUGCGGGAUGACGGCCUUCGGGUUGUAAACCGCUUUCGCCUGUGACGAAGCGUGAGUGACGGUAAUGGGUAAAGAAGCACCGGCUAACUACGUG